UAAGCUACAAUGAUGUCAAGCC
RNAcentral lists this non-coding RNA (22 nucleotides) under Arabidopsis thaliana (thale cress). The record is from RNAcentral. Lineage: Eukaryota; Viridiplantae; Streptophyta; Magnoliopsida; Brassicales; Brassicaceae.